AAUAUUGCACAAUGGAGGGAACUCUGAUGCAGCAACGCCGCGUGAGUGAAGAAGGUCUUCGGAUCGUAAAACUCUGUCAUUGGGGAAGAAUAAAUGACGGUACACAAUGACGAAGCUCCGGCUAACUACGUGCUAUCAGCCGCGGUAAUACGUAGGGGGCGAGCGUUGUCCGGAAUUACUGGGCGUAAAGGGUACGUAGGCGGCUAUAUAAGUCAGGUGUGAAAUACCAGUGCUUAACACUGGAAUUGCAUUUGAAACUGUGUAGCUUGAGUGCAGGAGAGGAAAGUGGAAUUCCUAGUGUAGCGGUGAAAUGCGUAGAGAUUAGGAGGAACACCAGUGGCGAAGGCGACUUUCUGGACUGUAACUGACGCUGAGGUACGAAAGCGUGGGGAUCAAACA
This 399-nucleotide ribosomal RNA is filed under the name uncultured bacterium. RNAcentral describes it as "partial 16S ribosomal RNA". It matches the Rfam family "Bacterial small subunit ribosomal RNA", at positions 360 to 774 of the family's 1533-position model. The record is from RNAcentral.